RNAcentral lists this long non-coding RNA (302 nucleotides) under Carica papaya (papaya). RNAcentral describes it as "long non-coding RNA (CPAP_LNC001874)". The record is from RNAcentral. Lineage: Eukaryota; Viridiplantae; Streptophyta; Magnoliopsida; Brassicales; Caricaceae.
UAAUCCUAUUUCUAUAUAUGAUACCCACAUGCCUUAUUAGCAUUUGGGAUGCCACACGUUCUAAUUCCAAAAGCUUCAUUCGACCCAUUCGGUAAAUUGUUUUUGAGAUAGGUUGUAUCCUUGGGACAAGUUCAAUGGAGAAAUCAAUUUCCCAUCUAGAAGGUAGACUUAGUAACUUUGCAAGAAAAACAUCCAAGAAGUCAUAGAUGAUUGGGAUUGUCUACACUGAUAGUUUAGGAUUCAUGUACCUAAGCAUCACAGAGGUUAGAAAAAAGACAAGAAAUUUUCUACAUUUUUGAAGA